GCGAACGCUGGCGGCAGGCCUAACCCCUGCAAGUCGAACGAACCUUUCGGGGUUAGUGGCGGACGGGUGAGUAACACGUGGGAACGUGCCUUUAGGUUCGGAAUAACUCAGGGAAACUUGUGCUAAUACCGAAUGUGCCCUUCGGGGGAAAGAUUUAUCGCCUUUAGAGCGGCCCGCGUCUGAUUAGCUAGUUGGUUGAGGUAAUGGCUCACCAAGGCGACGAUCAGUAGCUGGUCUGAGAGGAUGAUCAGCCACAUUGGGACUGAGACACGGCCCAAACUCCUACGGGAGGCAGCAGUGGGGAAUCUUGCGCAAUGGGCGAAAGCCUGACGCAGCCAUGCCGCGUGAAUGAUGAAGGUCUUAGGAUUGUAAAAUUCUUUCACCGGGGACGAUAAUGACGGUACCCGGAGAAGAAGCCCCGGCCAACUUCGUG
Molecule: ribosomal RNA, 433 nt
Filed under: uncultured bacterium
Lineage: Bacteria
Description: partial 16S ribosomal RNA
Rfam family: Bacterial small subunit ribosomal RNA
Source: RNAcentral